CCUACGGGGGGCUGCAGUGGGGAAUAUUGGACAAUGGGGGGAACCCUGAUCCAGCCAUGCCGCGUGUGUGAAGAAGGCCCUCGGGUUGUAAAGCACUUUCAGUGAGGAAGAACGCCUGGUGGUUAAUACCCAUCAGGAAAGACAUCACUCACAGAAGAAGCACCGGCUAACUCCGUGCCAGCAGCCGCGGUAAUACGGAGGGUGCGAGCGUUAAUCGGAAUUACUGGGCGUAAAGCGCGCGUAGGUGGCUUGAUAAGCCGGUUGUGAAAGCCCCGGGCUCAACCUGGGAACGGCAUCCGGAACUGUCAAGCUAGAGUGCAGGAGAGGAAGGUAGCAUUCCCGGUGUAGCGGUGAAAUGCGUAGAGAUCGGGAGGAAUACCAGUGGCGAAGGCGGCCUUCUGGACUGACACUGACACUGAGGUGCGAAAGCGUGGGUAGCAAACAGGAUUAGAUACCCUUGUAGUC
RNAcentral lists this ribosomal RNA (465 nucleotides) under Vreelandella stevensii. RNAcentral's name for it is "partial 16S ribosomal RNA". It matches the Rfam family "Bacterial small subunit ribosomal RNA", at positions 338 to 795 of the family's 1533-position model. The record is from RNAcentral. Lineage: Bacteria; Pseudomonadati; Pseudomonadota; Gammaproteobacteria; Oceanospirillales; Halomonadaceae.